Long non-coding RNA from Cyprinodon tularosa, 778 nucleotides. RefSeq lists it as uncharacterized. The transcript is spliced from 4 exons. NCBI's taxonomy places the organism in Eukaryota, Metazoa, Chordata, Actinopteri, Cyprinodontiformes, Cyprinodontidae. The record is from RefSeq and is a predicted model, not a curated record.
CUAGAUCUAGAAUAGAACAGUGACACAGCUUGAAGUGGUCAUCAGUUGAACUGGUCUCUGGGAUGAUGGUGAGAAGGUAAAGACGAUGCUUGGAGGGACUAAUUGAUCUCAGAGCAGUUUAAAGCAGAGGACAGGACUGAUGGAAGGAUGUGGGUUGUGAAUGGCGGCGAUUGUUAGAACCCGCUUUCAGCUGUGACUUGAUCUAGUUCUAGAUGUUCCUCUGGUCAGUUAGUGAAAUAUCCCUCUGCAGAAAUACUCUCCAUAUGAUCUAGGCCAGUUCUGACCACACUGGAUCUCCUCUGUGUUUUUUUAAUCCCAUGUCGGACCGAGCCUCUACAAGCUUUGGGCCGUCAGAAGAUGCUGAUGAGAUCUACAGCGACCAAACCAGAGGAGCAUCAUCUGAGCUGCUGACCUUUACAAAAAACACUGUGGACGUCCAAAAGCAGAACUCCUGUGAGGAACCGGGACCUCCAGGAUGCUGAGGAGCCUCCUAGUCCCCACCUGAGGACGGCACAGAGGAACACACCUGGAGAGAAGCAGGUUGAAUAUGGAAGCAGUGAUCUAGCAGUGGGAUCUCAGUGGAGCAGAGUCCAUCCACACGUGUUUGAAGGAGCUGAAGCAGAGGAUGGAGAACACAGACCACUAAGGAGGAGAAACAUGGCUCCUCUAUUUGUCUCUCCAACAUUCUGGAGUCCUGGACUGAAAAACAUUGAAGACCCCACAACUAAACCAUCAGUCUGCUCCACCCAGAAAGAAGGUAAAGAACCUUUAUUGCUUC